This 6716-nucleotide long non-coding RNA is filed under the name Selaginella moellendorffii. RNAcentral describes it as "long non-coding RNA (SMOE_LNC001398)". Lineage: Eukaryota; Viridiplantae; Streptophyta; Lycopodiopsida; Selaginellales; Selaginellaceae. The record is from RNAcentral.
GCCACAUUGACGGAUCGUCCAGCAUUUUGCAUAUAAUUGUGUCAUUCACGUGAUAAGCACCUUCAGCACACCGCCUUCGAAAAUUCAGGACGUAAACAACCUUGCCAACCUUGUAUAACACCUUUUCAUGCCCCAUUUGGCCCAGCCUAAUCAUCCAGUGAUAGCCAAAGAACGUUUUCCCUAUCCCUCCAGUACCUACGACGAUGAAAGAAGUGAAGUUGUCAAGCCGGUCCUGGAUUUGGGACUCUAGACUCGCAUAUGCCUCUCGUUUCCAUAGCAGGAAAGGUUGGCCAUAAUCUCCCAGUGCAUCGCUAUCUAGAAUCCAGAAUUUAGAAUCUGGAGUAUCAGUAGCCCUUACAAGGGCCGCCACACCAGCUGGUACACCUGAAGCAAGAUAUAAAUGCACGGAUCAGAAAAGAACUGCUACAUGCAGGCAAAUACCGCUCUGUGAGGAGAACUGAGCAAACUCUAGUGUGAGGCAGGAAAACUUCAAACGACUGCAAAACAGUCAUCCCAGACAGAAGAGCUCUAAGCCGAAGAAGACACAGACAGUAUUAAUAGAACGCAAGGGGAGCAGAUGGCCAUGAAUUCAAUUACAACCACAAGCCAGACACAAGCACCCAAGACCAAAUCCAACAGCGACACCAUCAGAAGCAAGACCUUGCGCCCGAUUUCAUGGCACACCAGGAAUACCAAGAACUGGACAAAAAAUGGGACUUUCCACAUCACAGAUCAAAGAGAAAAACAAGGAGGAUAUGCUAGGAAACCCAAAAUAAAAGCGAAAUUGAGCUACCUCUAGCCGAAAGAUAUCCACGACACACAGCAAAACGCCCCAAAUUGACACAAAGAAUGACUUACCAUUACUUCUGAGGAGGAGGAGGUUUCCUCCCGCAGCUGUUCUUCCUUCUUCUGCAGCUGUUCUUCCUUCUUCCGCAGCUGCCCUUCCUCCUUCCGCAGCUGCUCUUCCUCCUUCCGCCAAUAUUUCGCCAGAGAUUGAUUGCCACUCUGAAGGGCAGAGAGAAAAGAUUCCCCAGCCGCUUGGAUCUGCGGCUCAAGAAGCCCGAUUUGAGCUUCCACCUCGUCCAUUUUGCUAGCUGAAACCCUAUCUUGAAACCUUCUUAUAGGGAGGCAGUGGCGCCCUAGAAUCGUCAGGGACUGCACCAUCUUCAUCGGUGUUUUAGACCACUAACUCAAUUAUAAACACAAGAGACAACUCAGCCACACUUUUGUUUGUUUAAGCGGCUUCUACAAACUUAUCUAUUGCUUGCUCCUUGGUGGAGUAUGCUAGGGCAGAAUGGAGGUGGAGCAGUGGUGGUGGCGGCAUUUGAUCGGGCUACCUUGGAGAGCUUGGUGCGCAGGAUCUUGGCCAUGGUAAGCAGCAGCAACACAAUGUGGGCAUUCACCUUGGAUUCGCUCACGUCUGGGGCGUCGACGAGUGUGCUGGGGAGAGCUGGGACGGUGCCGUUCACGUUGGCGAGAAACGAGCGUAGCAUCAAGGCAUUCCGGGGUUGUGUGGACAAGCUAUUACUGGGAUAUGCUCAGGAAGAUCACGCUGCUGCUGCUCCUCGCCAUGGCUGGGCAUUCCACAUCAGCCGAAGUAUGACUGAUGUUGCAUGGGAGAAUUUUGAGGACAGAGAGACGUAUUAGAAAUGGCUUUUCAAGGAACCUGACGAACGAUUUGAGGUUUUUCUCGAGUACGUGGAGAAAGAGGAAGAAAAGGUGCGUGUUUUUUUUGUUCCCUUUGCAGAGCGGUAACCGUGACAUAUAUAUAGUAUUUCAAAUUGGUGUUAACACAAUCUUAAAGCUUCAGAAAUAGUUUCUCGUAAAGAACCGACGAACGAAACAAGAAAUUUACGGCACGAUCAUACCUUGCAAGUUGCCAAGACUUGUAGCAGCAAAGACUGCACUAAAAACGUCUGCUGAAUCCAGGGAAGCAUGUACAAAGCAAAAAGUCAUUCAUUCACUCUUAGUUUACUUCUCAUUAACUAGACUUCAAUCACUUUAAUUAUGUGCUUUAAAGCUUAUCAAAAUAAUGCUAUACUUUGUUUGCCAUUUUACUAAUCUAAUACAAAAGUUGCAUUAGGCUGAUGGCAAAGCCUUCCACCAAACUCAUUUUUUCUAAGGCUGAGAAUUAUAAAUUUACAAAUUCCUAAAUCAAUUGCUUUUCCAAUUUACUAAGUGGAUAUGUGUGAAGCUUCUUUUAUCAAGAAAAUAUUGUUAAGGCACAUAAUUCCGGAACACUGUUAUAUGUAAGGCAAAUAGAGCCCACCACAAGGAAGAAGGCAGGUGCUGUGCUAUUCUCAUGAUUGCGCUGGACAGGAUGAUGACUGUGGUAUUUAAAUUAUCCUCAUCAGCAGUUAUACUUUACUCAAUUUAAGUUGUUACACUUGGAUUCCUUUGAAUAUUUUAUCAACUGCUAAAUCAUAUAAAUCUUUGCUCAAAUAUCUCAAAUGUUAUCAAUUUAUCUAUUAUUAAUAUCAAACAUCAGUUUUAAAAAAAACUUAAAUGAUUAGUAUAUAUUAUUAAAAUAACAAACAUCUAUCAUAAGAAGGAGGGAGUGCCGAACUUUCUGGGCUGCCGGAUCCAGCCAAUGGCAGCCGUCCAAUGGGGGGUAAUUGUAAAAGAAUUAUUACUUUAACCAUGUCUUAGCGAAUAAUCAUGCUAAUGUUUGCUCCUAGUCAAUAGGAGGUGACCAAAUUGCAUAGGGCGAGAGAAGAAGAUGCUAUAACAUAUGCAAAUGUGUUAAUCAUGACUACACCUGUCAUCUGUCCUGUUGAGUGAAAAAUUAUCUUUUUUCUAAGUUUACCUCUCCAUGGCCAAUGCAAUAGAUUGCUCCAUGUGAGAAAAUGAAAGGAAUAUCAAAGCCAAUCUCCACAAACCAUUCUUGUAGAUUUGCUUCACUAGUUUGUGGCCCAGAGAGCAAUGGUGGCAUUACCACUGCCACCUCCAAGGCUAGCACCACUUGGAACUCUUUUGUCCAAGUGAACCUUAAGAAGAAAAACUAAAUACUUUGAUAAGGAAAGUUUAUUGAGAGCUUACCCAAAAGUAUGUGUUGCUCCCAAUCUUCUUUCUAUACAGAUCUAGAGCUUUGAUCACCUUGCAAAAGAAUCACACAAACAUUUUGUAAAUCCUCGGAAACAAAUGAAUGGAUAGGUUUGAGUCGUCGAGUGGGAUUCCAAACACAUUUGCUGUAAGUGAGUCUUUCUUUUUAGAAGGAGAGACUGAAAACUUUAAAGUAUCUCCCAGGCUAAUCACCUGAGUGAAAAGUUUCUUGAGAAACUAGAACAAGAAAAAAAAAACCCAGAAGCUUACAUGAAAGACAGAUGCUAAAUCAUGGUAGCCAUCAGGCCUCUUGCUCGUGAUUCCCAAGAAAGCAUUGAUCUGGUUAUUAAGUUCUUUAGCUCUAUCCAACAAGAAAACUUUGGGAAAACUAUACAUACCUUGGAUGGCGAAAACAAUGUAAGAUUUCGAGCAAAACCACCCAAGCUUUGGAGCUCCUUGGUGAGCUCUUCAUACCUCCCGACAAAAACUCCAAAAACUGUACAACUCAGAGAACUCUAUCUCUAUCUCAAGACCUUUACCUCAAGUUUUUUGGAGCCCGACGACUCCAUAGCUCUCAAGCAGCUCCUUCUCCUGCAUUUAGGCCCUCAAAACAAAGCAAAACUGCCUAUCAAAUUGCUCGCUGGAUCAGCAAAAUGGAGUGAUGGACUUGCCAUAAAUUCUCUCUCCAAUUUUCAGCUCGAUUUUUAUCUAGGAGCUGCAAUGGGCAUGAUGAGGAAGAAACAAGACAAAGGAGAAGAAAAAAGAUACACUCAUAUGGACCUAUCGAGUGUGUUUUUGAGAUGGAAGUUGCACAUAAAAAAAACAUGGUUAGUUAUAUAUCAACUUCUCUUUUCUUUUCUUUGGUUAUGCUGAUAAAUUAAAUAUUUUCUAUGCAGCUGAGCUAUGAUGAUAAGACCAUACCUAUUCCUUUCAAUAAGAUGCAUUCUUAAGUGGGCAAAUGAGUCCUGCUGUCUAUGGUUCUUUGCAAAACUUUCAAAAGAUUUUAAGUUCUACAACAUCUAUGGCAGUUCAUGCAAAACUCCAUUCCACAUCUGGUAUGUGUUCUUUGUUCUUGAUAGCCAACUUUCAUUAGCAACUUUUUUUCCAUUGUUUCCAGCUACGGGAGUGAAAAAAUGCCUCAUAGUUGAGCUCAAGGUAAUGCAGGGGUUCUUUCUUCAUGCUUACUGAAAGAAACCUUGGACUUCGCAAGCUGAUUUCAAGUAUGUGGAUGGAGAUGGCAUGGUACCAUCCAAGUCUUCCAAGGUAGCCCUCUAUUUCUAUCACCCGGUUCUGAACUCUGCUUUCUUCAUCAAAGACAUCCUGGAGAUCAAAGAUGAAGAGAAGUAGUUUGUGGUUCACACUGCACUGCACAAGUCUGAGGAAGUGAUUGAGAAACAAGCAUGCUUUUGUCUCAGCAACACAGCCAUCUCCCACAAGAACAGCACAUGAGAUGCAAACUCCAAGGACAGCCAAGACUACAACAGUGGUAGCAAGAGCAAGGACAACACUAAAAACUCAGUAGUGUUCACCAUCAACACUGAGGAUGCUAGAGCUCAAGCUCACAGUAGAGUCACACCUCAGCAUUUCUGCCACCGGUGUUGCAGAAGGAAGUGAUUGAGAAAAGGCCACCAUCGCAGUGGAGAAAGCUACAGCGCCAAGCUCAUAACACUGUACAAUAUGUAAAAAUAUGGAUUUAAAUUCUGUCAAAGUGAUGUUCAUGUCUUCUUUCCGAAGGUUUAGGCAGCUUCUAGGUUGAGAUAAUUUGCUCCAAUUGGAAAUAGGUAUCAUGCUUCCAUCUUGUGGAAGUAAAAAAAAUCUCACCAAAAGUUUUUCCUUUGUUAUUCAACAAGAAAAGAAAAACAAAACAUCACAUAACACAAUGAUUAGUAUGGUGCAUUGCAUCAGUUUUAGCACUAUGGGCAUCUUCUUCUCAAACUCUUCAACUCAGUGUUUUUUCUUCCUGUUUUCGUUUUUUUCCUGAUUUGAUUUUCGAGAUACUUUGUGGUGUCUUUUCACUUUCUUAUGCUUUGAACUUAACAAUUUUAUUUUCUUUUCUGGUUUUUCCUUCUGCAAGAUAAAUACUGGCAAGGAAACCAUGAUGCUCAAAUCUCAAAGCUAUAAUACUUGUGACAUAAAACUCUUUGGCCAAUGUAUUUGUCUUUUGGCUCAGAUUUAAAGUUUUUUGAAAACUUCACCUUGCCAACCCACCAGCUUUUUGCUGGGCAAUUCCUAGUAUUGUAUUAAAAACUUUGAUUUACUGAGAAAUUUAUAUUGUAAGUAUAUAUAUAGAAGCUUCAUCGUGCAUCCUCGUAGUCCACUUGAACAACAAACUGGCGCAUCUUCCCAAAUACUGCAUUUCUUUUCCCAUAGACUCCAUCUUUAUUAUUCUUGUAUUGCUGCCAUCCAGUUCUUUGAAACGUCUCUCUUGGAACACAUGACCACAACCUGUAGCUUGAUCUCUUCAACGCAGCAUCCACCAUUUCUAAGCCACUCGCUUUAAAGCCGUGUUUUCCAUCCAGAUCCAGUCUCUUGAAGACCUGAAUGAGAAUGUCUUUAUCCAUAGCAGAAUCAAUGCUCGGAAAGACUUCAGAAGUUGGUUUCACAUACUUGCCCAUCCCCAUCUUUCCUCGAAACUCACCAGCAGAACUUGCCUCUAGCAUGAUAUGAGGUCCAAUAUGAUGGGAAGUCUCAGGACCGGAGCUUCCAUCAGCGUAAACUGGCUUGAUAACAAAAUCACCACCCUUCAACAGCAGCCUAUGCACAAGAGGUUCAUAAAGCCUCCCCCACAAAGCCCCCACCCAAGAGCAGCUGAAUGUUUCUUUCAGAAAUUCCACCACACGUACAGCUCCAGCAAGCAGAUACUGAUUCCCAAGCUCUGUCAUCAAAGCCUCGCUUGCAAAUUGAUAUGUCUUUUCGCUGUGGUCCUCAGUUGCCACAAUGUGCAGAAUCCAGUCGCUGACGUUUUUCACGUACCGUCCUGACAAAACCCUGCCCGCUUUGGAUAAACUUGAUCCGAACAACACAACCGCAGUCUUGGCCAUGGCCUUCCCCUCAUCCAGCUUUCUUGCACGCAGUACAUACCUAGGAACUCCACCCAAAUAAUCGAAGUUGUCAAGCCCUUCCUUUCUGUCCACCACAUUCAUGUUCCCGUAACUAGUUCGGUAAGGCUCAAAGUCGUCAAGGAAUUUCCCAAUCUCCUCCCUGGACCACACCGACAUAUAAAGCAUGCAACAAAGCCCCCCCUUGCCAAACUCAUUGUAGUUUUUCUCCCUAGAUGAGGGAACCAAAAGAACUCGACAUCUGCGAGGGAAAGGCGUCUUCUGCUUCUCAUUUAUCACUAGCCACAUCGACGGAUCGUCCAGCAUUUCGCAUAUAAUUUGGUCACUCACGUCAUAACGACCUUCAGCACACCGCCUUCGCAAAUUCAGGAUGUAGACAAACUUCCCAUCCUUGUAUAGCACCUUUUCAUGCCCCAUUUGGCCCAGCCUAAUAAUCCAGUGGUAGCCAAAGAACGUUUUCCCUAUCCCUGCAGUGCCUAGGACGAUGAAAGAAGUGAAGUUGUUGAGCCGCUCCACGAUUUUUGAUUCUAGACUCGCAUACGCCUUUCGUUUCCAUAGCAGGAAAGGUUGGCCAUAAUCAUCGCUAUCUAGAAUCCAGAAUUUAGAAUCUGGAGU